GACGAACCCUGGCGGCGUGCUUAACACAUGCAAGUCGAACGGAAAGGCCCUGCUUUUGUGGGGUGCUCGAGUGGCGAACGGGUGAGUAACACGUGAGUAACCUGCCCUUGACUUUGGGAUAACUUCAGGAAACUGGGGCUAAUACCGGAUAGGAGCUCCUGCUGCAUGGUGGGGGUUGGAAAGUUUCGGCGGUUGGGGAUGGACUCGCGGCUCAUCAGCUUGUUGGUGGGGUAGUGGCUUACCAAGGCUUUGAAGGGUAGCCGGCCUGAGAGGGUGACCGGCCACAUUGGGACUGAGAUACGGCCCAGACUCCUACGGGAGGCAGCAGUGGGGAAUAUUGCACAAUGGGCGGAAGCCUGAUGCAGCAACGCCGCGUGCGGUAUGACGGCCUUCGGGUUGUAAACCGCUUUCGCCUGUGACGAAGCGUGAGUGACGGUAAUGGGUAAAGAAGCACCGGCUAACUACGUG
This 468-nucleotide ribosomal RNA is filed under the name uncultured bacterium. RNAcentral describes it as "partial 16S ribosomal RNA". It matches the Rfam family "Bacterial small subunit ribosomal RNA", at positions 28 to 507 of the family's 1533-position model. The record is from RNAcentral.